CCUACGGGUGGCUGCAGUGGGGAAUAUUGGACAAUGGGGGGAACCCUGAUCCAGCCAUGCCGCGUGUGUGAAGAAGGCCCUCGGGUUGUAAAGCACUUUCAGUGAGGAAGAACGCCUGGUGGUUAAUACCCAUCAGGAAGGACAUCACUCACAGAAGAAGCACCGGCUAACUCCGUGCCAGCAGCCGCGGUAAUACGGAGGGUGCGAGCGUUAAUCGGAAUUACUGGGCGUAAAGCGCGCGUAGGUGGCUUGAUAAGCCGGUUGUGAAAGCCCCGGGCUCAACCUGGGAACGGCAUCCGGAACUGUCAAGCUAGAGUGCAGGAGAGGAAGGUAGAAUUCCCGGUGUAGCGGUGAAAUGCGUAGAGAUCGGGAGGAAUACCAGUGGCGAAGGCGGCCUUCUGGACUGACACUGACACUGAGGUGCGAAAGCGUGGGUAGCAAACAGGAUUAGAUACCCCUGUAGUC
Molecule: ribosomal RNA, 465 nt
Filed under: Vreelandella stevensii
Lineage: Bacteria; Pseudomonadati; Pseudomonadota; Gammaproteobacteria; Oceanospirillales; Halomonadaceae
Description: partial 16S ribosomal RNA
Rfam family: Bacterial small subunit ribosomal RNA
Source: RNAcentral